CCUACGGGAGGCAGCAGUGAGGAAUAUUGGUCAAUGGACGAGAGUCUGAACCAGCCAAGUAGCGUGAAGGAUGACUGCCCUAUGGGUGGUAAGCUUCUUUUAUAUGGGAGUAAAAUGUUCCACGUGUGGGAUUUUGUAUGUCCCAUAUGAAUAAGGAUCGGCUAACUCCGUGCCAGCAGCCGCGGUAAUCCGGAGGUUCCGAGCGUUAUCCGGAUUUAUUGGGUUUAAAGGGAGCGUAGGUGGAUUGUUAAGUCAGUUGUGAAAGUUUGCGGCUUAACCGUAAAAUUGCAGUUGAAACUGGCAGGCUGGAGUACAGUAGAGGUGGGCGGAAUUCGUGGUGUAGCGGUGAAAUGCUUAGAUAUCACGAAGAACUCCGAUUGCGAAGGCAGCUCACUGGACUGUAACUGACACUGAGGCUCGAAAGUGUGGGUAUCAAACAGGAUUAGAUACCCCUGUAGUC
RNAcentral lists this ribosomal RNA (460 nucleotides) under uncultured bacterium. RNAcentral's name for it is "partial 16S ribosomal RNA". It matches the Rfam family "Bacterial small subunit ribosomal RNA", at positions 338 to 795 of the family's 1533-position model. The record is from RNAcentral.